NCACUGCUGAGGAGUCCCACAAUAGGACGAAACGGCCGUCCAGUGC
Molecule: non-coding RNA, 46 nt
Organism: Schistosoma mattheei
Lineage: Eukaryota; Metazoa; Platyhelminthes; Trematoda; Strigeidida; Schistosomatidae
Source: Rfam